CCUACGGGUGGCAGCAGUGAGGAAUAUUGGUCAAUGGGCGGGAGCCUGAACCGGCCAAGCCGCGUGAGGGAAGAAGGUACAGCGUAUCGUAAACCUCUUUUGUCAGGGAACAAAGGCGGGGACUAGUCCCCGGAUGAGGGUAUCUGAAGAAAAAGCAUCGGCAAACUCCGUGCCAGCAGCAGCGGUAAUACGGAGGAUGCGAGCGUUAUCCGGAUGUAUUGGGUUUAAAGGGUGCGCAGGCGGCCAGUUAAGUCAGCGGUAAAAGCCCGGGGCUAAACCCCGGCGAGCCGUUGAAACUGGCUGGCUAGAGUUGGAGAGAGGUAGGCGGAAUGCGCGGUGUAGCGGUGAAAUGCGUAGAUAUCGCGCAGAACACCGAUUGCGAAGGCAGCGUACCGGCUCCACACUGACGCUGAGGCACGAAAGCGUGGGUAUCGAACAGGAUUAGAUACCCGUGUAGUC
This 459-nucleotide ribosomal RNA is filed under the name uncultured bacterium. RNAcentral's name for it is "partial 16S ribosomal RNA". It matches the Rfam family "Bacterial small subunit ribosomal RNA", at positions 338 to 795 of the family's 1533-position model. The record is from RNAcentral.